Molecule: long non-coding RNA, 803 nt
Filed under: Equus asinus (donkey)
Lineage: Eukaryota; Metazoa; Chordata; Mammalia; Perissodactyla; Equidae
Description: lncRNA (ENSEASG00005024393.1)
Source: RNAcentral
CCGGAAGCCGCUGCGGUUCUCAGCCGGGGGUUCAGAGUUGCUGUCGGGAGGUUGUCGCUGCUGUGUGCUGGAGGGCUGCGGAGGUGAUGGGCGGCCCGGGAGGGUUUCUUGGUGUCUCUGUGGAGUCCCUGGGCCAGACCCCAUAGCGAAGGCUGCAGGAUCUUCUCCGGCCCCAGCAGCUCUGGUUGAGUCCACAGACCCUGCCUGGCCUCAGGCUCCUGGGAAGAGCAGAGUUGUCAGCAAGAGAGCCCGAGGGCUGAGGCCCAGCCGGAACAUGCCAGCUAACCAGAAUUCUCCCGGGCCAUCCCUGGCCCUGACUGCAGGGGGACGUGACAACUCCUGUGAGGUGAGGAGGAGGAAGAGGCGCCCCGGGGCAGGAAUUCAUUCAGAAGAAAAGAUAGUAUCUCUUUAUUUUAAUUUGUAUGACUUUUUUACCAGGCAGGAUAAUCCACCCCCCCAUUUUUAUUGGUCAUUCAUUUCCCUUGUGUGAAGUUCCUUCUUCUGCCCAUUGCUGAUUUAUUUAGCUUAGCUUAUGGAUUUUUAAAGAGUUAUUUAAAUGUGAUAACCCUUUAUCAUUCUUAUAUGUUUUGUGAAUAUUUUUUGCCACUUUGUAAUUUGCAAUUAAUUUUUAGUUUUGUUUACAAGUGGUAAAAGGUGUCUAAUAGUUCUCUAAGUCUUAAGGCUCUUCCCUGCUGUGUUUCUCCCAGAUUCCAGCUUCCUAGAGGCAAGUGCUCUUAAUCUUUUUAACAGAUUCUGUUUGCUUUAGUGUGGGGCAUUUUCUAUUGACUUUCCACUACAGAAAG